RNAcentral lists this ribosomal RNA (460 nucleotides) under uncultured bacterium. RNAcentral's name for it is "partial 16S ribosomal RNA". It matches the Rfam family "Bacterial small subunit ribosomal RNA", at positions 338 to 795 of the family's 1533-position model. The record is from RNAcentral.
CCUACGGGAGGCAGCAGUGAGGAAUAUUGGUCAAUGGACGAGAGUCUGAACCAGCCAAGUAGCGUGAAGGAUGACUGCCCUAUGGGUUGUAAACUUCUUUUCUAUGGGAAUAAAACGUUCCACGUGUGGGAUUUUGUAUGUACCAUAUGAAUAAGGAUCGGCUAACUCCGUGCCAGCAGCCGCGGUAAUACGGAGGAUCCGAGCGUUAUCCGGAUUUAUUGGGGUUAAAGGGAGCGUAGGUGGGUUGUUAAGUCAGUUGUGAAAGUUUGCGGCGUAACCGUAAAAUUGCAGUUGAAACUGGCAGUCUUGAGUACAGUAGAGGUAGGCGGAAUGCGGGGGGUAGCGGUGAAAUGCUUAGAUAUCACGAAGAACUCCGAUUGCGAAGGCAGUUCACUGGACUGCAACUGACACUGAGGCUCGAAAGUGUGGGUAUCAAACAGGAUUAGAUACCCUUGUAGUC